RNAcentral lists this ribosomal RNA (580 nucleotides) under fungal yeast sp. Urf1818. RNAcentral describes it as "eukaryotic LSU rRNA". It matches the Rfam family "Eukaryotic large subunit ribosomal RNA", at positions 47 to 622 of the family's 3401-position model. Lineage: Eukaryota; Fungi. The record is from RNAcentral.
UAAGCGGAGGAAAAGAAACUAACAAGGAUUCCCCUAGUAACGGUGAGUGAAGCGGGAAGAGCUCAAAUUUGAAAUCUGGCAGUCUUCGAUUGUCCGAGUUGUAAUCUAGAGAGGCGUUUUCCGUGCCGGACCGUGUCCAAGUCUCCUGGAAAGGAGUAUCAAAGAGGGUGAUAAUCCCGUACUUAACACGACCACCGGUGCUCUGUGAUACGUCUUCUACGAGUCGAGUUGUUUGGGAAUGCAGCUCAAAAUGGGUGGUGAAUUCCAUCUAAAGCUAAAUAUUGGCGAGAGACCGAUAGCGAACAAGUACCGUGAGGGAAAGAUGAAAAGCACUUUGGAAAGAGAGUUAAACAGUACGUGAAAUUGUUGAAAGGGAAACGAUUGAAGUCAGUCGUGUUCUUUGGAUUCAGCCAGUUCUGCUGGUCUACUUCCUUUGAACGGGUCAACAUCAGUUUUGUCCGGUGGAUAAAGGUAGUAGGAAUGUGACUUCUCCGGAAGUGUUAUAGCCUAUUAUCACAUACACCUGGGUGAGACUGAGGACUGCAGCUCGCCUUUAUGGCCGACCUUCGGGUACGUCGAG